This 203-nucleotide long non-coding RNA is filed under the name Amborella trichopoda. RNAcentral's name for it is "long non-coding RNA (ATRI_LNC001024)". The record is from RNAcentral. Lineage: Eukaryota; Viridiplantae; Streptophyta; Magnoliopsida; Amborellales; Amborellaceae.
CGCCAUUCAGCAUUUAAUUUACAGCAUUUCGUGCUCAUCCCUACACUGUUGCUAUUGGGACUCGAUAUGUGAAUAAUAUGGCUGGGAUAGGGUGGCCUCAGAAUCAUCAUCUCUCUCAUUUCUCUUUGAAUAAUAUGGAAUUAAAAAAAAAAAAAAACAAAUUUUCAAAAAAAUCGAUCAUGGAUUAAAAAAAAAAUCACAAA